Molecule: ribosomal RNA, 785 nt
Filed under: uncultured Chloroflexota bacterium
Lineage: Bacteria; Bacillati; Chloroflexota
Description: bacterial SSU rRNA
Rfam family: Bacterial small subunit ribosomal RNA
Source: RNAcentral
AGAGUUUGAUCCUGGCUCAGGACGAACGCUGGCGGCGUGCCUAACGCAUGCAAGUCGAACCAGAGAACUCCUUCUCUGAGUGGCGAACGGCUGAGGAACACGUGGGUGAUCUACCCUGGGUGGGGGAUAACAGACCGAAAGGUGUGCUAAUCCCGCAUACGAUCCCUUCCCCCCGGGAGAAAGCCUCCCUGAGGCGCACCAGGAAGAGCCUGCGCCCCAUCAGGUCGCUGGUAGGGUAUGGCCUACCAGGCCAAUGACGGGUACCUGGUCUGAGAGGACGACCAGGCAGACUGGGAUGAGACACGGCCCAGACUCCUACGGGAGGCAGCAGCAAGGAAUUUUCCGCAAUGGGCGAAGCCUGACGGAGCAACGCCGCGUGCAGGAUGAAGGCCCUCGGGUUGUAAACUGCUUUUGUGGGGAAGAACAGGACGGUACCCAACGAAAAAGCCCCGGCUAACUCCGUGCCAGCAGCCCGGUAAUACGGAGGGGGCAAGCGUUGUCCGGAUUUACUGGGCGUAAAGCGCACGUAGGCGUCUUGUUCGUCGCUACUGAAAGUGCCCGGCUUAACCGGGUAAGGCGUGGCGAUACGGCAGGCUCGAGGCAGCCAGAGGUUGGUGGAAUUCCGAGUGUAGCGGUGAAAUGCGUAGAGCUCGGAGGAACGCCAGUGGCGAAGGCGACUAACUGGGGCUGUCCUGACGCUGAGGUGCGAAGCGUGGGGAGCAAACCGGAUUAGAUACCCGGGUAGUCCACGCCGUAAACGAUGUCGGCCGGUGUUCGGGAAUGUG